This 227-nucleotide long non-coding RNA is filed under the name Olea europaea (common olive). RNAcentral's name for it is "long non-coding RNA (OEUR_LNC009626)". Lineage: Eukaryota; Viridiplantae; Streptophyta; Magnoliopsida; Lamiales; Oleaceae. The record is from RNAcentral.
AAUCCACUUAGGGGAUUCUUUGGAAGAUAUAGCUUCUUCAUAAGAGACUGGUUCUAAGUCAAAAUGAUCAGAUUCAGUCUGAUCAGAUGCAAAAUCAGCAUGUUGAUACCUGGGUGGAGGUCUUAUUUCCCUCCUUUCUCUGUCCCUGGCAAGCUGGUAGCCCUGCAGAUCAUGUGCAGGCUCCAGAUGCUCUUCAUCUUCAAUUAUUUCAACAUCUGAGUUAUUUU